GUCGGGAUGGGCAGCGCGGGGCUCUCGGCUGCUCCCACCGCUGUUACAGGGGGAACCCAGCCCGGGCCAAAGGAGAGGCAAACUGGGAAAACUGGGGGCUGCACAUCCAAACUGGGGCUGGCUGGGGACCCUGCCUGGGGCCUGGGAUCAGACUGGGAGUGGCUUCAACCAUCCUGGGAUUAGAGUGGGUGUGCUUGGACCCUCACUGGGGGUUACUGGGAGAUACUAGGCCCAUGCUGGGAGCCAACUGGGGAUACACUUAGAGGAACUGGGAGCAACUGGGAGACAACUGGGAGCAAAUGAACUACACUGAAGUAACAGGGAGUGCCUGGGAAUGAUUACGAGAAUGGUCAAGGCAAAUGGGAUGUACUGGUGUGUCUGAGACCAAAGAGGUGGGGACUGGGACCAGACUGGGAGCAACUGGGAGUGUGCUGGGGGAACUGGGAACAGGCUGGGGCCAAGUGGGAGUGACUGCAGCCUUGCUGGGAGAGACUGGGAUCAUACUGGGAGUGUCUAGGACUAUGCUAGGGACAGCUUGGAGAACUGGGAACACAAUGAAUCAAAGUGGGAGCAACUGGGACCUUGUUGGGGGCAAAUUGCAUCAUCAUAGGGAAUGACUGGGAGGGACUGGGCUCAUACUGGGAACAACAAGGAUCCUGUAGGGAGUGAGCGGAAGUGACCAGGAUCAUACUGGGAGCAGCUGAGCUCAUACUGGGAGGGACUGGGCUCAUACUGGGAGCAGCCAUUUCUGGCCCCAGCACCCCGAAUCCCUUUCCCGGCCAGGCCACCCCUCCAGCCCCAGCACCCCCCAUUGCCGGGUGCCGGCACUGCCAGGGGUCCCCGCGUCUCGGGGUGCCCGCUGGGGCUCCUGGGGCUCUCCUCUCUCGGGGCUCCCGCCCAGGGAAGCUGCGGCUCUCCUGGGGCUCCCCAAUUCCGGGGUCCCCCCGCCACUCCCGCCCGGUGCCCACGUGGCCCCGGCAGAGCUCGGAGGGCCCGGCCGGGAGCCCAACCCUCACCGCGGGGGGACCCGCAUCCCCCGGCCCCGCCAGGGCUCUGCCGCCACCCGCACCGGAACCCCCCAAAAACACCUCCCGGGGACCCCCCGAUGUCCCCCCGAGGGCAGCUGCGGCUCGGCUUUGGAGCCCUACCAGCUCCAAACAUCCCCCCCAAAAACCCCAACCCCAGAGAGCCCCGGGAUAUUUGGGGCGAGCUCCCCCUGCCCGCACACCUGCGGGAUGGGGGCGAUGCUCCUGGGCCAAAGCAGCUGCGGGUGCCGAGAGCGCUGUAAGUGCGCGGGGCUUCUGCUGCUGCUCCAGCGCCGCCUGCUUCCGCUCCUCCUCUUCCUCCUCUGUCCCUCCUCCUCCUCCUCCAGGGCCGGACACGAUGGCAAAGGGCUGAGUCACCCCCAAACCCAGCUGAGGGAGCGGAGGUAUGAACCUUCUCACUGCGCACGGGCAGCAUCAGCAUGUUCAGGGAGAUCCUGGGGGACCUGGGGGUCACCCCAAACCCCAGGGGACCCAAUUGUUCAGGGACGCCCUGAAGUCCCUUCACCACUGGAUCUGCUGCAGGCAGGGGGGCACCAGCACUCGGCCCCCACCCCCCACCAUCCCAGGAGGGCCGUGGAAGAAAUCUGGGGGUGCACGGAAAGGGGUAACACAGGGGAACUCCCAGGAAUACCCACUGGGGUUAGGGGAGACCCAGGAGGAGUUUGGGCAGGCUUAAUUGUGUCACUAUAGUCAGGAUAGGGGACUCCAAGGGUCUCAUUGUCCACAUUCCCAGCAAAAGGUGGGAAAACCC
This is a long non-coding RNA of Chloebia gouldiae (Gouldian finch), 1797 nucleotides long. The record is from Ensembl. NCBI's taxonomy places the organism in Eukaryota, Metazoa, Chordata, Aves, Passeriformes, Passeridae.